AUGUGUAAGUAAAAUUAAUCGACUACGAAAUUGCGAAUGGCUCAUAAUAUCAGUUAUAGUUUUAAUGGUGAAGGAUACUAAUAGGAUAACCGUAGAAAUACUAGGGCUAAUACAUGAGUAAAGUCCCAUAGGGAUGUGUUUAUUAGAAUGAAAACCAUAUGCUUCGGCAUGAUAGUGAGUAAUAGUAACCUAUCGUAUCGCAUGCUUAAAGUAGCGAUGAGUCUUUCAAGUUUCUGCCCUAUCAGCUUUCGAUGGUAGCAUAUGGGUCUACCAUG
Molecule: ribosomal RNA, 275 nt
Filed under: Blastocystis sp.
Lineage: Eukaryota; Bigyra; Opalinata; Blastocystidae
Description: partial small subunit ribosomal RNA
Rfam family: Eukaryotic small subunit ribosomal RNA
Source: RNAcentral